UGUGACUUGUUUUUGGAAACACAGAACACAGCUUCAGGGGACUGCGGGACAAUAAGGGGCGUUGUGCUCUUGCAGUAGUGAGAAGACAGUGAAGAGAUGACAGAAAACCUUCAGACCAUGAAGAGUACUUCAGCGACAAGACACAUCAUCUCUGCUCUUUUGAAACCAGCUCACAGAGGUGCUAAACGCCAACGUGUGGGACAACAACCCAUCCUCAUCUGACAUCUCGACUAGCCAUUUCUACAGUAUCCACCCCUAAAGACAUCUCAGUGCUAAGAUUUGCACUGGAUGGGAAAGAUUCCAUUUCAACCUGUGUGUUUCAGGCUGCUGGGCUUAAUAUGAGCUCCUUAUGAAGGCCUAUAAUUAAUAAGCCACUUGGUUUCCUCCAGUAGUUGUGAGGUUAUAUUAAAAAUGUAUAGACGGGGACAGGUCAUGC
Lepisosteus oculatus (spotted gar) is the source of this 436-nucleotide non-coding RNA. Lineage: Eukaryota; Metazoa; Chordata; Actinopteri; Semionotiformes; Lepisosteidae. The record is from RefSeq and is a predicted model, not a curated record.